GACGUAGGAGGCGAGCGUUGUCCGGAUUCAUUGGGCGUAAAGAGCACGCAGGCGGUUUGGCAAGUCGGAUGUGAAAACCCGAAGCUCAACUUCGGGCCUGCAUCCGAAACUGCCCGACUAGAGGUAGGUAGGGGAGAUCGGAAUUCCUGGUGUAGCGGUGAAAUGCGUAGAUAUCUGGAGGAAUACCGGUGGCGGAAGGCGGCAUCCUGGACCGACAU
RNAcentral lists this ribosomal RNA (218 nucleotides) under uncultured bacterium. RNAcentral describes it as "partial 16S ribosomal RNA". It matches the Rfam family "Bacterial small subunit ribosomal RNA", at positions 524 to 740 of the family's 1533-position model. The record is from RNAcentral.